UGGAGUCAAAGUGGCACUUCUCGGAACACCCCUCCGAUCUGUGUCUCAAAAACUCCAAAACUAACCUAAAUACGGACGGCAUCCUGAAUAAUUAUUCAUAUUAUUUCAGAUGACUUGUGUCUGCGUACA
Molecule: small nucleolar RNA, 129 nt
Filed under: Drosophila ananassae
Lineage: Eukaryota; Metazoa; Arthropoda; Insecta; Diptera; Drosophilidae
Description: snoRNA:GF26142
Source: RNAcentral